Molecule: long non-coding RNA, 476 nt
Filed under: Homo sapiens (human)
Lineage: Eukaryota; Metazoa; Chordata; Mammalia; Primates; Hominidae
Description: non-protein coding AZIN1-AS1:9
Source: RNAcentral
CCGCCGCCUCUCGGGCGCCUGCGCUCACGCUGCGGGGCCCAGCGCAUUGUGAGCCGGGUCGAGCUCCACGCUGGCAGCGUCUGAGAGCUGUCCUGGGCCGGAGGUGGCGCGAACCCUGUGCGGCCUAGAGUGGGCCUGGGGAAGCCAGCUGCCAUGUUCUGAGUACUCUCUGGAAGGGCCUGCAUGGCAAGGAACUGAUGUUUCCAGCCAGCAGCCAGCAAGAACUGCAAGCCUUGUGAAUGAGCUUGGAAGCAGAUCCUCCCCUCACUCAAGCCAUGAUAUGACAACAGCCUGAGACCCAGAGGUGGACGGUGGUGAGCUGUGUUUCCAGGCAAAGGGGAGGACAGGACGCCUUGUGGCAGCCCAAGCUGUGAAAAAUAGAAUCAGAAAUCUGAGCGUAGGAAGAAGUGGGUUAGCCCUGGAGAAAGGAAAAGGAGGAUCAUGGUUCUCUGCAAAGAGCUGGAAGCUAAAAAGCA